Molecule: long non-coding RNA, 8061 nt
Organism: Peromyscus californicus insignis
Lineage: Eukaryota; Metazoa; Chordata; Mammalia; Rodentia; Cricetidae
Exons: 2
Source: RefSeq, a predicted model, not a curated record
CACACACACACACACACACACACACACACUGCUACUACCACCACCAACAGCAACAGAACCACCAAAAUAAUAGAAAUCAACAAAUACUGCUUAUUCAUAUUUCUCAACAUCAAUGGUUUAAAUUCCCAGUAAAAGUACAUUGACUAACAGAAUGGAUAUGAAAACAGCAUCUAUCCUUCUGCUGCAUCCAAAAAAUACACCUUAACAUCAGUGGUUAAAGGGUAAAAGAGUAGACAAUGAUAUUUCAAGAAAAUGGACCUAAGCAGCAAUGGACUUUAGCUGGUUUAACAACUUUAAUAUCUGACAAAAUUGACUUUAGAAUAAAAUGAAUAUGGAUAGCUAAGGAUGAAUACUACAUACCCAUCAAAGGAACAAUCCACCAAUGGUGCAUUGCAAUUCUUAACAUCUAUACACUAAACACAAGUUUAUCCAAGUUUGUAAAAGAAACACUACUAUAGCUUAAAUCACAGUUUGACUCCCACACAUUGAUAGUGGGAGACUUCCGUGUCCCACUUAUAUUAGUCAGGUCUCUCUUGAGUCACAAAACUUAUGGAAUGAGCAUCUAUCUAUCUAUGGGAACUUAUUGGAAUAACAUAGAGGUGGCCAUCCAAUAAUGGUUAGCUGUGAACGGAAAGUCCAAGAAUCUAGUAGUUGCUCAGUCCCAGGAGGCUGAGUAUCUCAGCUGGUCUUCAUAUGCUGGAAUCCUAAAAAAGUAGGCUCCCAUGCCAGUUAAGAAAUGGAUAUGCUGACGAGGGGAGGGCAGACAGGCGAAAAAUGAACUAAAUCUUCCUUCUUCUAUGUCUUUACAUAGGUUUCCAGUAGAAGGUAUAGCCCAGAUUAAAGAUGUGCCUUCCUGGCUCAAGGUCUGGAUUAAAGGCGUAUGUCAUCUCAUCAUCCAAUUUUAAGAUCUAGAUUAGAGGCAAGUUGUCUUUCUGCCUCAAGAUCAGGAUCACAACUCUGCUCUCCAUUUCUGGAUUAUAGUUCAUUUCAGAUACAGUCAAGUUGACAACCAAGAAUAGUCAUCACAGUCCAUCCCUUGUCAACUUGACACACAAUCACACCUCCUUCUGUCAUAAUUAACUUCCAAAUGAAAACAAUAACCUGGUCAUAACAAUGCCUAAACAUAACUAUCAUGUAGACAAUCACAAAUGCAUUAUAUAUUUAACCAGGUCAUAAUUAAGCCUAACAUGAUAUAACUAUCCAUUGAACAACUGCAAAUGCUUUAUAAAUUUCAAAUAGGUGGCAAUGUCCCUUGGGGGACAGCCUAUUAGUAUUCUUUUCAUUGAUAUUACAACAUAUAAUAAGGAAAUUGAAAGAAAACACAAAUAUCUGUACAAGUACAUUCUUUUUUGGAAGGAAAGGGUUUAUUUGGCUUACACUUCACAUUAUCACAGUCCAUUAUUGAAGGACUCAGAGUAGGAACCUGGAGGUAGGUACUGAACAAGAAGCCAUGGAGGAACACUUUUAAUUGUGUUUUUUUUUUAAUUUAACAUAAUUUCUUUAUUGAAUCUUUGGUAAUUUCACAUCAUGCAUCCAAAUUCUGCUCAACUCCCAGUCCCUCCAUAUCCUCCCUUCACCCUUACAGCAUCCUGCAAAAAUAAAAUUAAAAAAAAAAUCAAAACAAAACAAAACUGGUGUGGAUCACAUGGCAACUAUUACUGCCUGACAAAGUUCCAUCAUUUCAACAUUGCUGACCACACUUCUGCAGUACCUUUUAAAUUUUAUUUUUAAUGAUUCUCAAUAUUAAUAUCUUUUUCUUUGGGAAAUUUUGUGUGGCCUUUGGUAAAGAAUGAAAAUGUAUACAAUGGUAGCCUCUCUAAACAAAAUAAUAAUUCUUUGGGAAAAAAAAUCCUUGCCAUCAUGGAACCAUGAAUCCCAUUGUGCCCUCCUAAUUAUAUCAAGAAUAGGAAAGUUAGAGAUUUACUAGACACACCUGAUCCCAAGGAGAAAUGUCUACAAUUCAGAUUCAGAGCCUGAGGCCAUUUAGGACAAGAGUUCAGUUCAUAAAUAUAGGGAAAUCAGAAUGGUUCAGUUUAAUGGGGAAAGAGUUAGGCAUCAGGAUCUUCCCUUUUGGGAGCAUUAUGAGGGGAGCAUACCCAUAUACCAAGACUGAGAAAUUGUACUAUGGUAUCUGGUCCGCAAGUAAGGCAUUUGGAUAAGGGUCUUCAUUCUCUCCAGUGCUUGAGGAAAGUUUCUGUUUGCUAAAGCAAUCAUCCUCCUUAUCUCUGGCAAAAGGAACUUGUGGCCAUUUAACUAACAUAUGACUGGUACCUAUUGCCAAGGUCAAGGUUACUCAAACCCUGAUUUCAAGCCACACUCCAGCUCACAUGCCCUCGGUGUAUUCUUUUUUUUUUUUUUUUUUCAAUUAAAUUCUCCUGUCAGCCAUCCUGAUUCACCCUCAGAUCCUGUCCUGUUUCCUCCCCCAACUCCACACAUCCUCUUUGGGACCUGAACCCCUCUGCUGAAGCAGGUCUUCAGCACAAAACAAAAUAAGCAAGCAAACAAAAAAGAAAACAAAACCAAAAACAAAAUUUCUCUUCGAUCCUCCAUCUUUUCUGACUCUCCAACACCUCUUCAUUUGUUCUGGUGGCAUUGAGAACCAUGAUGUGUCACAUAGUAUACCCUUUUGUUAAAUCAGCCAUACAUGCAAAUGUUCAUUGCAAUGUGUCAUAGGUUCAAGGCCUCUGGUUUCUGGUACACCAAUAUCACUAAAUCCUCACCUAAACUCCCCUCAGAUAUCUCUUGGCUGCCUGGAUUCAUAGAAAUCCUGUGGGUAUCAUUCCACAGAACCCACCCCUUCAUGAGCAUCCAGAGGUAGAUGUUAAGGUAGACCAAGGCAAGGACUAGGCUGUGGGCCUGAGUGGUAGUUGAGCUGGACAGUCCUCCCUAUGUCAAUGUUGUCAUGGUCAAUUCUCCCUCACCCCUGUUGAGUGGUGGCACCAUCUCUCCCAAGUGCCAGGGACAGCUCUUCCAUGAGGGUUGGGACCAGCUUUCUUGUUGCAGUGUUCAGCAAGGUGCAGGACCAGCUAUCCCAGGGCCAGUGAAUGAUGCGGCUGGCUCAGCAUGACCCUCUGAUUUUAUCACUCAUGGUCCCUAUGGCCCCCUGAGGUGACUCGGACCACAUACAUCAAUACAGACCACAGCUGCAACAGGAUCAUGGACCCAGACAUGGCCCUUGGCAUCAGCUUGGGCCCAGAUGACAUCCUGAUUCUGGUGGAAGCACAGGCCACUCAGAACAGGAUGGUUUUUCUGGCAAUAUGGCCCCCAGACACCAGUUGGUUGUGGCCCAACUCCAGGCUUUCCUGUAACCUUUGGUGGCAACAUGGACCUUGGACCUCAACACAGACCCCAGUUGUGGUAGGACAAUGAACCCAGACAGGGUCCUCAGCACCAGCUGGGCCUGGAUAUCACCAUUACCCUGGGUGGCAGUGCAGUACAAAUACAUUCUUAACAAAAUACAACAAAAGCACUCGUGUCUGUUGUCCUCAUUUCUGCAACUGGUCACAUGACCUUACAUGGUAUUUAUAUCUACCUUUCUCUACUACCCACAUGUAUUUCCUCUACUCUCUUCAAGUAACUUCAACAGGUCUUGGCUCUUCUUAUGUAGUAUUCAUAUCUUCAUUCCUCAUGGGUCUGUGAACUUUGUCAUCCUGCCUAGAUUAGGCUGUAGUAGCUUCCAUUGACUUUAAUCAUAGGACAUGGUGGCAUCAAGAGAUGCCCUAAAGAUCACCUGUAUUCCAGACAUAAUCCUUAUCUCAGUGUGGAGAGGCAAUUCAAUUUCUACAUGAUAAUCUACAUAUAUCAUCCCUCCUAACACUGUUUGUUGUUCUGUUCUUAGCCUGUUGGGUUAAGAGAGUUAAAAGCCCAAAGUGACUAAGGGGAAGUCUGAAUUUCCAGUUCAAUGGAAUGUUUGUUAUGACUCCUAGCAGGGGCACUCCCCGCUCCAGAACCAAAACUUCUAGGACAGUAGAACUUGGAGUUGUGGGAAUAGGAAGAAAAAACUUUCCUAGUGGGUCACUAGGGGUGAUGGGGAGAGGAACUAUCCCCUUUCCACCUCUUAGUUCCUGGACCUGUGGAUCCUGGCUAUGGGAGAAACAAUACCAUAUAUUGGAUGUUGAUUCAAAGCAUGUACUGGCUUCUGGAGUACCCUGCUCAAGCCCUCUAUGCUGCUGACACCUAGUUGGCACUGUAACUGUGUCCACAAAAGGUCAUUCCAUCUUUCUAUUGAGCCAGCUGCUUCAGGAUUGUGGGGAAAAUUGUAAGGCUAGUGGAUUCCAUAAUCAUGGGCCCAUAGUCACACUGCUCUGAUUAUGAAUUGAAUUCCCUGGUCAGAAGCAAUACUGUAUGGAAUACCGUUUCAAUGGAUAAGGCAUUCUAUAAGUCCAUAAGUAGUUUUGGCAGAAACACUAUGUGUAGGAAAGGCUAAUCCAUAACCAGUAUCUACUCCAGGGCAAAGCAUUGUCUUUUCCACAAAGGAAGUGGUCCAGUGUAGACAACCUGCCACCAACUUGCUGGUUGGUCAUCCUGGGGAAUGGUGCCAUAUCUGGGGCUCAGUGUUCGUCUCUGUUGUUGGAGGUUUUGGCACUCAGCAGCAGGUGUAGCCAAGUCAGCCUCGGUGUGUAGAAAUCUAUGUUGGGGAGCCCAGGCAUAGCCCCCAUCUCUGCCACCAUGGCCACUUUGUUCAUGGGCCCAUUGGGCAAUGACAGGAAUGGCUGGAGAAAGAGGCUGACUGUCUACAGAAUGGGUCAUCCUAUCUACUUUUUUAUUAACUCCUCCUCACUUGAAGUACCUUUGGUCAGCAUUUACAUGGAACACAAGUAUCUUCACAUCCUUUGCCCAUUUGGACAGAUCUAUCCACAUACUUGUUCCCUCGAUGUCUUUCUCACCAAUUUUCCAAUCAUGCUCUUUCCAUGUCCCUGACCAUCCAGUGAAUCCAUUGGCUAUAAGCCAUGAAUCAGUGAACAGUUGCACAUCUGGCCAUUUCUCUUUCCAAACAAACUGUAUUACCACAUGUAGUACCUAAAGUUCUACCCACUUUGAAGAUUUCCCUUUACCAGUAUCUUUCAGGGUUGUCUCAGAAAUGGGUUGAAAGUCUAUAGCUUUCUACUUCUGGGUAGUGCCUGCAUAACAUACAGCAGCAUCAGUAAACCAGGCUCUAAUCUUCUCUUCUUCAGUCAACUGAUCAUAGGAAACAUUCUAUGAGUGUAACAGGUCUUUCUUUGGACAGCCAGUGUUAUGGAAUAAUCCUUUUGUACACUGUGAAGAUGUGUCACUCUAAUUGGCUUAAUAAAAAGUUGAAUGACCAAUAGCUAGGAAGGAUUUUCAGGGCAGAGAAGGUGCUGAGGAAAAGAAGAGAGUAACCAAGAGACACAGAGCAAGCAGGAUGGGCAAUACGAAGAUAAGGUAAUAAAGCCAUGAGGCAGAAAGUAAAUUAAUUAAAAUAGGUUAAUUUAAGUUAGAAGAGCUAGUUAGAAAUAAGUCUAAGCUAUUGGAUGAGCUCUCAUAAUUAAUAAUGUGUCCAUGUUAUUGUGGAACCAAUGGUCCCAAGGAAAAAGUCCAACUACAAAUGACAUCCAACAUGGGGGCACAUAUUUCCACGUAAGACCUGAGACAGCAUAAGAAAAAAAAAGAUUACAAACACACGAAAAUGGAGCCAAACAUGGCUUCCUAGUCCCACAGUCUUUCAUACAACUGUGGUAUAGAGAGGCAUCUCCCAGCCGCUGCUUGCAGACUUAAGUCAUCAGCAUUCUAUGAGCUAAGCUGGGCAUGGCUUGAAUUUUUCUCAUGCAGACAGAAAAGGUUACAGAUAUGCAGUGAAGCAGGUUCAGACAGAAAAUGCCUCUAAACAGGUUACAGUGCAUUUAUCAAUAUGAGUAGGCUAAAGGGUAGACAGUCAUAAAAACUAGUGCAGAAAUAAUAAGGUAAAAUCUUUAAAAAGAGAAGCAAAGUAAUCCAAAAAAAGCCAUGUAAGGGUGAAAAAUUUUAUAACACAGGAAGUUUGGACCUUAUAUGAUACUUUAUUAAUUUUGAAUUUUUUGAAUGCUAAUAAACACACAACAGCUGCCAAGAGACAUUGGAUUGUGGAAGGGACUGCUGAAUUAAACCAACCUAUAUAUUUUAAAAAUGUCUCAACUUAAAAAUGGAAGUCAAAUAAAAUGUAUUAUGUUUGGGAAGAGGUUAUGCUUUUGUUUCCAUAGGAAAAGAAAAGCUGUGGAUUCCUUCCAGGUUAAUAGAGAUCAGAUUUGACUUGGGAAGACCUCUUCAGUAUCUUGGCUAUAGACAUAGGGGAGGAACCAAGAAAGACUACAGGAUAGGUGAUGGGUAAGCUGAUCUCUCUACACAGGAACAGCUUGGAGACAAGAUGAUGUAUGAUGAAUAUUGUUAGCUACAGAGUCCUCAUGACUAAUUAUCACAUGCCAUUCUUUCAUAUGGCAUGGAUAGAGAUUUAUAUUACAGUUUGGUUAUGCAGGCCAAAUGAACUUAUAAAUUUGAGAGAUGUCUUUAACCUUUUCAAACAUAGAACAAAAAACAUCUUUAAUUGACUUGUGCACAUUGUAUAUUCCAUACUUGUGUUAAUGCAGAUAUAUAUUUUUGAAAGUUUAUGCAUUUUCAGAGGAAGAGGACCACAACACCAAUGAAAAUGGGUGACCCAGAGGAUCCAGUCUCCCAGAGUACCUCUGUUACAGAUUCCUUAGAGUUCUACAUCCAGAACAGCUUCAAAGACUGCUGACUGAGAUGGUCACAGACUAUUCCAGUCAGACUUAAGACAAGCCCUACAUUUUCCUGCUGUACUGGGACUAGAAAACAGCUAGCUUUCCCAGGACUUGACCAUUAUCUUAAUUUUUUUCAGGGUCCCUUAAAGAUGUCAGCACCCCAAGACAACAGGAAGCAGUCUAGAGAACACAAUGCCCAUAUACCCAAGAGUUGCUGGCCAGCAAGGAAGACUCCUGUGGGCAGGCUCUCCUAUCAAAACCCCCUAUCGGACCAUGCAAUCUACAAGAUCUAUGCCCUACCCAAAACCUACCCACCCUCCGGUGACUCUGGUGGCUUCCUGAGACACAGAAUUUACCAGCAUUCAUUGGACCAAGAGUGGCUCCCUGAGACAAAGAAUCUGCCAGCUCUCAUUAGACCAAGAGCAGCUACCUGAGACACCAACACAGCUAGCACAAAUUAGAACAAGAGAGCUCGCUCAGAAACAGGCACCUCUUGUACCUAUUGGAGGAAGAGAUGGGUAGGCAGACACCAGUGCAAAAAUACAUGAAAUAACAUAAAAAGCAAUAUGGCAUCACCAGAACCUAGCCCUUCUACAACAGCAAGACCUGAACAUCACAACAUAGAAGAAGCAGAAGAAAGUAACCUUAAAAAUAACUUUAUGAAGAUGAUAGAGGUCUUUAAAGAGGAAAUGAGAAGUUCUCUUAAAGAAAUUGAGGAAAAGAUAAACAAAAAAUAGGAAAAAAAAAUCAAUACAUCCCUUAAAGAAAGCCAAGAAAACCAUGAAAAAGCAAUUAAAUUUGUGAGGGAAACAGUUCAAGACCUAAAAAGGGAAAUAGAAACAAUGAAGAAGACACAAACACAGGGAAUGCUGGAAAUAGAAAAACUGAGUAAAUGAACAGGAACUACAGAUGCAAGCAUAAUCAACAAAAUAUAAGAGAUGGAAGAGAGAAUCUCUGGCAUAGAGGAUAAUAAUAGAAGAAAUAGAUUCAUUUGUCAAAGAAAGGACCAAAGCCAAAAAUGUCACAAAACAAAAUAUCCAGGAAAUCUGGUACAUCAUGAAAAGGUCAAACCUAAGAAUGACAGGGAUAGAAGAAGGAGAAGAAUACUAACUCAAAGGCACAGAAAAAUGUAUUCAACAAAAUCAUGGAAGAAAACUUUCCCAACUUAAAGAAGGAAAUGCCUAUGAAGAUACAAGAAGCUUAUAGAACACCAAAUAGACUAGACCCCCCAAAAAGUUCCCUCAUCACAUAAUAAUUAAACCACUAAACAUACAUGUGGUGGUAUUUUACUUGUACUGAAAUGUGAUUUUAAUUGUAUGUUAAUAAAUAAAGUUGUCUGGGGGUCAGA